ACGCUGGCGGCGUGCCUAAUACAUGCAAGUCGAACGGUCUUUCUAUGGAAGCUUGCUUCCACUGAGAAGAUAGUGGCGAACGGGUGAGUAACACGUGGGUAACCUGCCCAUAAGAGGGGGAUAACAUCCGGAAACGGGUGCUAAUACCGCAUAGUUUUCUUGAUCGCAUGAUCGGGAAGGAAAGACGGCCUUUGUGCUGUCGCUUAUGGAUGGACCCGCGGCGUAUUAGUUAGUUGGUGAGGUAAUGGCUCACCAAGACGAUGAUACGUAGCCGACCUGAGAGGGUGAUCGGCCACAUUGGGACUGAGACACGGCCCAAACUCCUACGGGAGGCAGCAGUAGGGAAUCUUCCGCAAUGGACGAAAGUCUGACGGAGCAACGCCGCGUGAGUGAAGAAGGUUUUCGGAAUCGUAAAACUCUGUUGUCAGAGAAGAACAAGUUGGAGAGUAACUGCUCCAGCCUUGACGGUAUCUGACCAGAAAGCCACGGCUAACUACGUGCCAGCAGCAGC
Molecule: ribosomal RNA, 511 nt
Filed under: uncultured bacterium
Lineage: Bacteria
Description: bacterial SSU rRNA
Rfam family: Bacterial small subunit ribosomal RNA
Source: RNAcentral